CAAGCAGGCUAGGCUGUCGCCCUGAUGAAAGUCGGGGAGGAAAGUCCGAGCUCCCCCGGGCAGAUGCUGGGUAACGCCCAGGACGGGCAACCGUACGGCAAGCGCCACAGAGACACACCGCCGAUCUCGCAAGAGAGGCAAGGGUGAAAACGUGAGGUAAGAGCUCACGGCCGGUUUGGGCAACCAGGUCGGCAGGCAAGCCCCAUCCGGAGCAAGGCCAAAUAGGAGGACGCACGAGCCCGGCGAGUCCUCGGGUUGGCCGCACGACUUCACCGGUGACGGUGGAGCUAGAUAGAUGACAGCCCCCGACGCCGCAGGAUGAGGUCCCUCCCUUCGGGGAGAGAUGUAAACGGCGGCGACGGUACAGAACUCGGCUUACAGGCCCGCUUCACGU
RNAcentral lists this RNase P RNA (394 nucleotides) under Chloroflexota bacterium. Its description in RNAcentral is "Chloroflexi bacterium (freshwater metagenome) RNase P RNA component class A". It matches the Rfam family "Bacterial RNase P class A". From Rfam's summary of the family: Ribonuclease P (RNase P) is a ubiquitous endoribonuclease, found in archaea, bacteria and eukarya as well as chloroplasts and mitochondria. Its best characterised activity is the generation of mature 5'-ends of tRNAs by cleaving the 5'-leader elements of precursor-tRNAs. Cellular RNase Ps are ribonucleoproteins. The record is from RNAcentral. Lineage: Bacteria; Bacillati; Chloroflexota.